AUUGAACGCUGGCGGCAUGCUUUACACAUGCAGGUCGAACGGCAGCGCGGGCUUCGGCCUGGCGGCGAGUGGCGAACGGGUGAGUAAUACAUCGGAACGUGCCCAGUAGUGGGGGAUAGCUCGGCGAAAGCCGGAUUAAUACCGCAUACGACCUGAGGGUGAAAGCGGGGGAUCUUCGGACCUCGCGCUAUUGGAGCGGCCGAUGGCAGAUUAGCUAGUUGGUGGGGUAAAGGCCUACCAAGGCGACGAUCUGUAGCUGGUCUGAGAGGACGACCAGCCACACGGGGACUGAGACACGGCCCAGACUCCUACGGGAGGCAGCAGUGGGGAAUUUUGGACAAUGGGCGAAAGCCUGAUCCAGCAAUGCCGCGUGUGUGAUGAAGGCCUUCGGGUUGUAAAGCACUUUUGGCGGGAACGAAAAGGACUGUGCCAAUACCACGGUUCGAUGACGGUACCCGCAGAAUAAGCACCGGCUAACUACGUG
This 484-nucleotide ribosomal RNA is filed under the name uncultured bacterium. RNAcentral's name for it is "partial 16S ribosomal RNA". It matches the Rfam family "Bacterial small subunit ribosomal RNA", at positions 29 to 507 of the family's 1533-position model. The record is from RNAcentral.